GUGGUCUAGUGGUUAGAGUGUAGGGUCGGCAGGUAGCCUAGUGGUUAGAGUGUAGGGUCGGCAGGUGGUCUAGUGGUUAGAGUGUAGGGUCGGCAGGUAGCCUAGUGGUUAGAGUGUAGGGUCGGCAGGUAGCCUAGUGGUUAGAGUGUAGGGUCGGCAGGUAGUCUAGUGGUUAGAGUGUAGGGUAGGCAGGUAGCCUAGUGGUUAGAGUGUAGGGUAGGCAGGUAGCCUAGUGGUUAGAGUGUAGGGUCGGCAGGUGGUCUAGUGGUUAGAGUGUAGUGUCGACAGGUAGCCUAGUGGUUAGAGUGUAGGGUCGACAGGUAGCCUAGUGGUUAGAGUGUAGGGUCAGCAGGUAGCCUAGUGGUUAGAGUGUAGGGUCGGCAGGUAGCCUAGUGGUUAGAGUGUAGGGGCGGCAGGUAGUCUAGUGGUUGAAGUGUAGGGUCGACAGGUAGCCUAGUGGUUAGAGUGUAGGGUCGGCAGGUAGUCUAGUGGUUAGAGCGUAGG
Oncorhynchus tshawytscha (Chinook salmon) is the source of this 504-nucleotide long non-coding RNA. The record is from Ensembl. NCBI's taxonomy places the organism in Eukaryota, Metazoa, Chordata, Actinopteri, Salmoniformes, Salmonidae.